GACUCCAGAGGAGAUUCACAAGAUAAUCAAAGGGAUGGAGCACCUCUCUUAUGAGGAAAGGCUAAGAGAGUCAGUGCUCAGCUUGAGAAGCGAAGCCUUUGGGGUGAUCUCAUUGUAUCCCUCCAGUACUUAAAGGAGGCCUUGUAGGAAGGUCUGGGACAAACUUUUUAGCAGGAUCUAUUGUGACAGGACAAGGGGUAACAAUUUGAAACCAAAAGAGGAUAGAUUUAGGUUAAAUAUUAUAUAUUAGAUAUAAGAAAGAAGUUUUUUCAAUGAAGGUGGUGAGACACUGGAAUAGGCUGCCCAGAGAGUUGGUAGAUAUCCCACCCGGGAAACACUGAAGGUUAGAUUUGACUGGGCUCUGAGCAACCUGAUCCAGUUGAAGAUGACCGUGCUUUCUGCAACAGGGCUGGACUACGUGGUCUUUAAAGGUCUCUUCUGAGCCAAACUACUAUCUGAUUCUACGAUUGUACUCUGUUUUGUGUUGCUGGUGGAUUCCAUUAGUCAGGACAGCCUCAGGAGAAGGACAUGAGACAUCCUUUACUGGCUGUCUUUCUUGUCACACAAGAGUCACUUAAUUCUUCCUAAAGAAGAUUGAGAUGUGUUGGGAUUUUCCUGAGGACAAUAUGUGUGAGCAUAUCUUUUCCACAGAACUCACUUCUUUAACAGAAGUUAGGCUUAUAUCUCCAUAUUUUCAUUAAUAAUAGUAACUUUAUGGACCCUGCAAAUCACACUAUAGAAACACUAUUGUUUCAGUAAGAUGUCAGUUUAGGUAUAGCAGAAACAAACAAUUCUCUUCUUACAAACACCCAGAAAUUUCCAGAUUUAAUUGAAAAUUCUGUUUCAGUAAAUCACAGAGCUAUAUAACUUUUUUCUUCAGAAGUUCUUUCUCUUUCCAAUUCAGCAUGCAUAAUGCUUGUAAGUUUUAUUCAGUGAAAAUGAAAAGCUUUAUGUCUCUGAGACUAAUUUCUAUGUAAAUGAACUAACAAGCAUGUGCACAGCAAAGCAGAGGCUAUAAAAAGUAAAAUGGAGUUUAGUUUACCAAUAUUUUGCAAGUGUUUCAACAGCUUGCACAAUUAAGUUUGGAACUAUGGUGAAUUGGAUUUGUGUGUGUAUUUUUAUCUGUUUGAUUGACAAAAUUUUUCCUUUGUUUAACUCUAAUUACCUUUUUGAAUUACUUUCAAGUUGGAGAUUUGCAUGUACUAGGCGUUAUGUAUCACUGCCAUCCUGUAUUGCAUGAGGAUGUAUCCAUAUGUCCAGUUGCUUGACUGUCAGGAGCUGGAGAACAGAGAGAAAAUAUAUGACAUUAUCAAAAUCCAAACUACUGUCCAAGAAAUCUAAGUCUGGAAGAAAUUGCAAUUUUCAGCUCCCUUCAUUUUGAGGGAAAAUUCUUAGAUAUGGAGAGAUAUAACUUCUGUCAGGCUGAGGAUGGGAAUGAAACAACUUUAGAUGCUUCUGUGAGUGUAAUCCUCUAGAUUAUGAGCAAAUAUCAAAAGCAGAUUUGAGAAUCUUCUUUAAAUAAAUAUUUUCAUACCCUAUUGUAAACACACUGAAAAUAUGAGAAUUGCAUCACAGCUCUCAAGGAUUUAGGCUAUGUAGCAGCUUAAGAUAGAUUCCUCAUAACCAAAUAUAGAUGUCUAUGCAUGACAGAAUCAUGCAGACUCGUCAUAAUUGAACAGAAAAGAAGAACAUCUCAUCCUAUGUAUACACUUCUGAAGUGAAUUGGAAAACUCUUUUCUAAACUUUUAUAUUUUUCUCUUGAAACAGCAAGUGACUAGCUUGGAUGGAACAUCUGUACAGCAGACGUCUGAAGUCCAGUGAGGUUAAUCCACACUUAUUUCUACAUCUCACAGAGGCUUAGGUAUAAGAAAUACUCAGCUGUUUGUACUGGCACGAUAUUAAACUUGUGCCAAAAGUAGAAUCUAUAGAAAGAAUAUAACUUUAAAGUCAAGUAAUAUUAGGCACCUCUGUCCUCACAUGGGUAAGCAAGUGUUUGCUUGCCACAUAAGCAAGCAGAAAUUUUUGAUUGCAGCCCUUUUAAUCUACUCCAUGCUUUGCCGUAGGCACUUUGCUGGAUACAAUCCUGAAUCUCCUGUGAAGUUUUUGAUUAUGUUUUUAUCAUCUCAUCAUUAAUAUGAAGAAAGAGCACUUUUCUUAUGCAACUUUAAGUAUACCCAAGGGGAACAGCUGAAGUAUAUUUGCGUACUUGCACAAAUGCUGAACAGUGUCCAUUCUGCUGCUAGUCACACAAAGGACAUGUAGAUUUUCAUUUGCCACUUUGUAUGGCAAAACCUGCUCAAUUUAAAUAUUGACUGGAUUCUAUUGUUAUUAUGCUUGCGGAUGUCUAUUCAGUGAAGAAUUAUGAACUAUAGCAGAAUUCAUAGCAACACUCAGGGCCUACUGAAAGAGCAGAAGAAAAAAUGAUCUUCAUAAAAAACCAAAAAUAUGUAACUAUGCAACAGUGAGCACAACUGCAGCUAAUAUUUGUGUGACCUUCAAUAUUAUGCAGGCACAGGAUAAAAUCCAGUAGCUAUUUUUUUCAUUGUCUAUGCUGUCACUGUCAUGGAGCACAUUCCAGAACGAGAGAAGAGGGAAAUAACAGUCCACUGAUGAACAAUUGCAACAUGCCUGGUUAGAAGUCUGAAAAUGGGUGCAAAAAUCUGGAAGUUGGCGUUAAUCUUAUGCAAAACCUAACCAUGAGGUGCCAAGCCAUGUGCUCUAGAUAGCACGAGUGCCAUCCAUCACUAUAUUUCUGACUACUUUACAGGUUGAACAGACAAUAUCAACAUGAUCCUUCUGAGGAAUUAAGUUUUCUUAGUGAGAAUACAUGGGAGAUCUUGCAUUUGUACUUGGAAACUGUAGAUGCUGAUGAAAAUUGCAAAGGCAAUACCGAGAGUGGUGAAGUGUAAUGUGUAAUGUGUUUGAGUUUCUUUUCAAGUAUGCGUGGAGAGACACAUUUAAAGAAAAAUAUGUAUAAAACUUAGUAUUUUAAGUGUGUUUUUAUGGAUAUUUUUAUUUUUGAAAAGUUGUAAUGUUAAAUUUUUGACUAAGAAUAGAACACCCAUCUAGGUCCCACUCUGGAUGAAGAAUAUGACAUUUUGUGUUUAUAGUUAGAUGAUGACAAGGAAGCAGAGCUGACAUGACCAUGACUGAUGAAAUUAAAUGCAUUUUUCAAACACCUCCAAAAUUUGAAAAACUUUUAAAUUGCAAGAAUUUUAGAAUCAAAAGGAGGUAUACAGAGGGCACAGUGAGUAUGACAUUGCAGCUACUUUAUGAUCAAGAGGUUCUAGCUAGUAGCCAUUGUAGGCUAAUCCUUACAUUAAUUUAAAAAGAAGUAAAUUCUUGUCAAAUAAGCAAAACCACGAAAGAGAGCUGCCUAACACUUAGCUCACGUCUUGAAAUUAAAUAUUGUGGCUCAGGAUCCUUUUUUUUAAACACAGAUUUUUGUGAGUGAUCAGUGAAGGCUGAAUGCUUUGAUCAUGUCCUCUUCACUGUGCCCACUCUUCAUGUCAGAGAUGAAGGGCAGGGAAUUGUUAUGUUUUGGCAGUUCUGUGUCACCCCAAGUUGCUCCUAUUCAGGGAAAUGCCCUGACUGGAUGUUUAAGCUGACUUCUACCCUCAUUUACAUCAACACAAAAAAUACCAGCGAUUCUGGUGUCAGAGUCUUUUUCUCCUUCAAAAGGAAAAUCAAACAGCAUGACUGAACUUGGAAGACUGAGGAAGCAGCUCCAUCUGAAUAAAGAAGGACAAAAAGGAAAGAGAAAAUUGUUGAUGCAAAAGCAUGUUUUUGUACUUGUGCUUUGCACUUUGACUCCAGUGGAUCCAGAUAUCCUUCUGAGCCUGACCUGGGAAAAAUAGUCUCUAUGUCAUGUGUCCUAUAAAAGGCUCAGCGAAGCCUUCCAUUGCUCUGAAAGUGUAGCAUUUUAAAUAAACUCGUUUUUAAUUGAAAGGAGGGCUAAGGCAUCCAGACACUUCUCUGGUUCUUAAAUAUUCUUUGUGGGCAAUUAUUUUUAUAUAAAUAUAUUUAGUAGCUUACACAUAUGUAAUGUUUUUUUAAAUGUAAGGGUAUGUGAUUUUAUAUGUUCACUGUUAUAUUAUUUUAUUGUUUUAUUUAUUUACAUAAUUUUAUGUAUCCUUCUAUGUAACUACAUUUGUAUUUAUUUCUUCCUUUACAUAAAAAAAUAAAGAAACCACUCUAAUUGGAUUGUAGUCAGAAGUUA
Non-coding RNA from Taeniopygia guttata (zebra finch), 4219 nucleotides. The record is from RefSeq and is a predicted model, not a curated record. NCBI's taxonomy places the organism in Eukaryota, Metazoa, Chordata, Aves, Passeriformes, Estrildidae.